This 667-nucleotide unclassified non-coding RNA is filed under the name Hevea brasiliensis (rubber tree). Lineage: Eukaryota; Viridiplantae; Streptophyta; Magnoliopsida; Malpighiales; Euphorbiaceae. The record is from RNAcentral.
GAUUGAUAGGCGAUCUGGUAAGGAGCUCGAGAAGGAGCCCAGGAGCUCGAGAAGGGGCCCAGGUUCUCGAAGAAUGGUGAUGCUGGUUUUGUGAAGAUGGGUCUCACCAAGCCCAUGAUAGUGGAGACCUUUUCUAAGUAUCCUCCUCUUGGUCGUUUUGAUGUGAGGGACAUGAGCUAGACUGUUGCUGUUGGUGUCAUCAAGAGUGUCGAGAAGAAGGAUCCAAAAAAUACUGGUGCAAAGGCAUCAAGUCUGCAGCAAAGAAAAAGUAAAGCGUCUGCAGAGUGAGGUUGAAGUUGUUAGUUUGGUUAUGUCUUGUUUUUGCUGUUACUUUGAGAACAGAUUCAGUUUCUUAUUCCUGCAGUUUUGUGUCUCUCGUAAGUUUACGGUCGUUGCCUCGUGUCUCUGAAUGUUAAGGAAUUAUGGCGUUUUGGGGAUUCUAUGGCAUUGACAUUUUCAUUUUUUUUAUCACAUGUUUUACUUGUUUAUUGAGCAUUUUGUCAAUUUUAGUCUGCCAUAGGAGUUGCGCUGUACUCAGGUUUAGUGAAUCCAUAGACUUCCUGCUAACUUCAAAUCAUUGACUGACUAUAAAGAGUAAUUAAUGUGCUAUAAAAUUCAUAUAUAAAGCGGUAGAUAUUCAUGCUUUAUGAGAAAAGUAUUGAGAAAU